Molecule: ribosomal RNA, 491 nt
Filed under: uncultured bacterium
Lineage: Bacteria
Description: partial 16S ribosomal RNA
Rfam family: Bacterial small subunit ribosomal RNA
Source: RNAcentral
GAUGAACGCUGGCUACAGGCUUAACACAUGCAAGUCGAGGGGAAACGCCGGGGAAGCUUGCUUCCCCGGGCGUCGACCGGCGCACGGGUGAGUAACGCGUAUCCAACCUGCCUCUGACUGAGGGAUAACCCGUCGAAAGUCGGCCUAAUACCUCAUGGCAUCGUCUGCGGGCAUCCAACGACGAUUAAAGAUUUCAUCGGUCAGGGAUGGGGAUGCGUCUGAUUAGCUAGUUGGCGGGGUAACGGCCCACCAAGGCGACGAUCAGUAGGGGUUCUGAGAGGAAGGUCCCCCACAUGGGAACUGAGACACGGGCCAAACUCCUACGGGAGGCAGCAGUGAGGAAUAUUGGUCAAUGGGCGAGAGCCUGAACCAGCCAAGUAGCGUGCAGGAUGACGGCCCUAGGGGUGGUAAACUGCUUUUAGGCGGGGAUAAAGUGAGGGACGUGUCCUUCAUUGCAGGUACCGCAUGAAUAAGGACCGGCUAAUUCCGUG